Molecule: ribosomal RNA, 446 nt
Filed under: uncultured bacterium
Lineage: Bacteria
Description: partial 16S ribosomal RNA
Rfam family: Bacterial small subunit ribosomal RNA
Source: RNAcentral
CCUACGGGUGGCAGCAGUCGAGAAUCAUUCACAAUGGGGGAAACCCUGAUGGUGCGACGCCGCGUGGAGGAAUGAAGGCCUUCGGAUUGUAAGCCCCUGUCAUGUGGGAGCAAAUUAAAAAGAUAGUACCACAAGAGGAUGAGACGGCUAACUCUGUGCCCGCAGCCGCGGUAUUACAGAGGUCUCAAGCGUUGUUCGGAAUCACAGGGCGUAAAGGGUGCGUAGGCUGUUUCGUAAGUCGUGUGUGAAAGGCGCGGGCUCAACCCGCGGACGGCACAUGAUACUGGGAGACUAGAGUAAGGUAGGGGGAAGCGGAAUUCGCGGUGUAGCAGUGAAAUGCGUAGAUAUCGGGAGGAACACUCGUGGCGAAGGCGGGUUCCUGGACAUUAACUGACGCUGAGGCACGAAGGCCAGGGGAGCGAAAGGGAUUAGAUACCCGUGUAGUC